Molecule: ribosomal RNA, 551 nt
Filed under: Fuscopannaria confusa
Lineage: Eukaryota; Fungi; Ascomycota; Lecanoromycetes; Peltigerales; Pannariaceae
Description: SSU rRNA
Rfam family: Bacterial small subunit ribosomal RNA
Source: RNAcentral
UUAUUCAUCUUUAAUAGGUUUAAAGCGUACCUAGACGGUAAUUAAAGCCUAUAUCAGGAACUUGUUUACUAGAGUUAAAUGUAAGGGUGUAUUAAAGUACUGUUGAGUGUAGAGAUGAAAUUCGUUGAUACCAAAUAAUUGGCACAGGUAUAGGCGAAAGCAUCACUUUAUGUAAUAACUGACGUUGACGGACGAAGGCUUUGUGUCGCGAACAGGAUUAGAUACCCCAGUAGUCUUAGCAGAAAACUAUGAGUGUCAUAGGUUAGAUUUUAUUUGGUCUAUAAAUGAAAGUGUAAGCACUCCACCUCAAGAGUAAUUUGGCAACAUUGGAACUGAAAUCAUUAGACCGUUUCUGAAACCAGUAGUGAAGUAUGUUGUUUAAUUUGAUAAUCCGCAAAGAACCUUACCACAAUUUGAAUAUAAAUGAUUUAUUUUUACAAGCGUUGCACGGCUGUCUUCAGUUAAUGUCGUGAGAUAUUGGUUUAUUCCAUUAAAUUAACGUAAACCCGUACUUUAUUUUUAUAUAAAGUUGUUCAUUCGCUAUAAUGGAU